RNAcentral lists this ribosomal RNA (369 nucleotides) under uncultured organism. RNAcentral's name for it is "bacterial SSU rRNA". It matches the Rfam family "Bacterial small subunit ribosomal RNA", at positions 528 to 896 of the family's 1533-position model. The record is from RNAcentral.
GGGGGGGCAAGCGUUGUUCGGAAUUACUGGGCGUAAAGGGCUCGUAGGCGGCAACUAAGUCAGACGUGAAAUCCCCAGGCUCAACCUGGGAACUGCGUCUGAUACUGGAUGGCUUGAAUCCGGGAGAGGGAUGCAGAAUUCCAGGUGUAGCGGUGAAAUGCGUAGAUAUCUGGAGGAAUACCGGUGGCGAAGGCGGCAUCCUGGACCGGCAUUGACGCUGAGGAGCGAAAGCCAGGGGAGCAAACGGGAUUAGAUACCCCGGUAGUCCUGGCCCUAAACGAUGAAUGCUUGGUGUAACGGGUAUCGAUCCCUGUUGUGCCGAAGCUAACGCAUUAAGCAUUCCGCCUGGGGAGUACGGUCGCAAGGCUG